GACGAACGCUGGCGGCGUGCUUAACACAUGCAAGUCGAACGGAAAGGCCCUGCUUUUGUGGGGUGCUCGAGUGGCGAACGGGUGAGUAACACGUGAGUAACCUGCCCUUGACUUUGGGAUAACUUCAGGAAACUGGGGCUAAUACCGGAUAGGAGCUCCUGCUGCAUGGUGGGGGUUGGAAAGUUUCGGCGGUUGGGGAUGGACUCGCGGCUUAUCAGCUUGUUGGUGGGGUAGUGGCUUACCAAGGCUUUGACGGGUAGCCGGCCUGAGAGGGUGACCGGCCACAUGGGGACUGAGAUACGGCCCAGACUCCUACGGGAGGCAGCAGUGGGGAAUAUUGCACAAUGGGCGGAAGCCUGAUGCAGCAACGCCGCGUGCGGGAUGACGGCCUUCGGGUUGUAAACCGCUUUCGCCUGUGACGAAGCGUGAGUGACAGUAAUGGGUAAAGAAGCACCGGCUAACUACGUG
Molecule: ribosomal RNA, 468 nt
Filed under: uncultured bacterium
Lineage: Bacteria
Description: partial 16S ribosomal RNA
Rfam family: Bacterial small subunit ribosomal RNA
Source: RNAcentral